AUCUCGCCUUUUAUCACCGCACCAAAUCUGGGAUAAUUCCCCGGUCCUCCCCCCAUUUUAAGCUAUAACAGGCUGCUGUUACGCUGGAAUCAACCCUAGGGUUUAUCACCUUUCGCAGUUGCGCCCCCCUUAACAAUCGACGUUACCGCACUCACCGGAUCUUCUGUUGGACACCGGUGGUGGCGAAUCCAUAAGCAGAGAUGAAGAUUGUGGCGGCGUAACUCCUCGCCGUACUCGGUGGCAUCUCCCACCCCUCUGCUGACGAUAUCAGGUCUAUCCUCGAGUCAGUCGGAGCGGAGGGGGAUAACGACAGGAUCGAUCUCCUGCUGUGCGAAGUCUCCAAGAAGGACAUCACGGAGGUCAUCGCUGCCGGAAGGGAGAAGUUCGCACUUCGCAUCUGUUCCUUCGGGAGGCGCUGUAGCAACUGUCGCAGUAUCGAGCGGCGGUGGGGGUGGCGCUGGAGCUGCUCAGGCGGAGGAACCCGAGAAGGAAGAAGAGGUCGAGGAGAAGGAGGAAUCCGACGACGACAUGGGUUUCAGCUUGUUCGAUUAAGCAAUGCAUUGCUGCGGAUCGACCAAUGAUUCGUUUUUUAAGGUGUUGAUAAACUUUGGCUUUUGCAUUCUGGUUUCAUUCUCAAAGUAUAGAUUCGUUUCUUUUGGUGUAUGGUUUUGGAUCCAGUGAUUAUUUUUAUACUAUCGAGAAAUACAUAUAUCAAUGUCAAGUCUUGCUAAAUAACAAUCACUAUGGAAAAAUCUCCUUUUACCAGUAUCAUUGCCUGCCUUUCAA
Long non-coding RNA from Zingiber officinale, 786 nucleotides. RefSeq lists it as uncharacterized. NCBI's taxonomy places the organism in Eukaryota, Viridiplantae, Streptophyta, Magnoliopsida, Zingiberales, Zingiberaceae. The record is from RefSeq and is a predicted model, not a curated record. The transcript is spliced from 3 exons.